RNAcentral lists this long non-coding RNA (1124 nucleotides) under Pan paniscus (pygmy chimpanzee). RNAcentral's name for it is "lncRNA (ENSPPAG00000044808.1)". The record is from RNAcentral. Lineage: Eukaryota; Metazoa; Chordata; Mammalia; Primates; Hominidae.
CCCAUCAUUGGUAGAUUGGAUAAAGAAAGUGUGGUACAUAUGGUCAUUUUAUUAGGAAGUGAAAUAAAGUGUAUGUUAAUGAGCAUGUUGCUUUUGUGGGCCUAAUCCUAACAGCAACCGUCUGAGAAGCUGUGUGGAGCAUCCCUCAAGUCAUCCUUUCUUGGAUGAUGGGGAGGCUGGGGCAUUUAUCCACUUACCUUCCUUCCCCAUUGGUUGAUGGGUGUCCCUGGUGGCAUGAACCCCUCUCACUUCAGGGUUGCAUUUGUUUUUGACAGAGCAAACCCCAUGGUGUUGGAGAAUCAGGAGAAGAAGAGAGAGGCUGGUCUAGAGGUGCAGAGCUUUCAGCAAACUGCUUACCACACCUAAGGUCAUUUUGAAUAUCUCUUGGGAGCCUGCAUCUCUUCCUUAUGAUCAGUUUCCUAGCACAGCGACUCAAGGGCCUGAUGCGUCAGGCUGCUGAGAUAUCUAUCUGUUCCGACAAAGGCUGCCUCAGUGCCAUGAAAACACAUCACGUGCUGCAAGUCCUGGCAACAUUUAUGUCUCCAAUGCAAAAUUGUGGAUUUCUGCCAAGAAUUUACCUGCCUAUUCUCCAAGGACAAACAGUGUGUGUUGCAGCCCUAAAACUACAUAUUUUCCUGCUACUUCAAAAUCUCCAUAAAAGGGCUGUGAGUUUCCAAUUUAGUCAACCAGGUGCACCAAUGUGAUAAGGUUGGUCCCUGCUGGAGGUUCUCCUUCCUACUUCCUUUCCUGACUGUGACCUAGUGACAUUCAAACACACCAGUGAAAUUCCCUCACUCCUUUUCUUGUGUGUCCCACCCUGAACCUCAAUAAAUGUACUUGCUCACAGGUUCUCUCUCUCUCUCUGCUUCCCAUCUGCUUGGGUGAUCCUGAUCCCUUCGUGCUCAUUCCCAUGUGAUUCCCCUUUCAGCAUGCAGUGAUCCUGUCUCUCUGGGACCUGUGAGCAUCAUAAACUGUUUUUUCCUGAGCCUCUCCUGUUUCUUCUCGUGGCCACACCUGACUUACCAUCUCAUGAAAGAAUGCAAAACAGUGAUUAUACUUUUUUUUUCCUUUAGGAAGGAGAGUAACAGAAGGAUCAGUUUCCAUUGAAAGUGCUAUGAUACAAU